CGGGGUGCAGCAGGCGCGAAACCUCUGCAAUAGGCGAAAGCCUGACAGGGUUACUCUGAGUGACUUUCGUUAAGAGAGUCUUUUGGCACCUCUAAAAAGGGUGUAGAAUAAGGGGUGGGCAAGUCUGGUGUCAGCCGCCGCGGUAAUACCAGCACCCCGAGUGGUCGGGACGAUUAUUGGGCCUAAAGCAUCCGUAGCCGGUUCUGCAAGUCCUCCGUUAAAUCCAACUGCUUAACAGAUGGGCCGCGGAGGAUACUACAGAGCUAGGAGGCAGGAGAGGCAAGCGGUACUCAGUGGGUAGGGGUAAAAUCCGUUGAUCCAUUGAAGACCACCAGUGGCGAAGGCGGCUUGCCAGAAUGCGCUCGACGGUGAGGGAUGAACGCUGGGGGAGCAAACCGGAUUAGAUACCCGGGUAGUCCCAGCCGUAAACGAUGCAGACUCGGUGAUGGGUUGGCUUCGUGCUAACCCAGUGCCGCAGGGAAGCCGUUAAGUCUGCCGCCUGGGUAGUACGGUCGCAAGACUGAAGCUUAAAGGAAUUGGCGGGGGAGCAC
RNAcentral lists this ribosomal RNA (551 nucleotides) under uncultured archaeon. Its description in RNAcentral is "bacterial SSU rRNA". It matches the Rfam family "Archaeal small subunit ribosomal RNA", at positions 326 to 879 of the family's 1478-position model. The record is from RNAcentral.